UUGGAGGGCAAGUCUGGUGCCAGCAGCCGCGGUAAUUCCAGCUCCAAUAGCGUAUAUUAAAGUUGUUGCAGUUAAAAAGCUCGUAGUUGAACUUCGGGGUUUACCCAUUGGUCAGGCUUAAUUGUCUGCACUGGUGAGAUAAAUCUCUACCUUCUGAGGAACUUUCAUGUCAUUAGUUUGGUGUGAUUGGAAAUCAGGACUGUUACUUUGAAAAAAUUAGAGUGUUUAAAGCAGGCUAACGUCUGAAUACAUUAGCAUGGAAUAAUGAAAUAGAACGGACUGAUUCUAUUUCGUUGGUUUCUAGGAUCACCGUAAUGAUUAAUAGGGAUAGUUGGGGGCAUUAGUAUUCAAUUGUCAGAGGUGAAAUUCUUGGAUUUAUUGAAGACUAACUACUGCGAAAGCAUUUGCCAAGGAUGUUUUCAUUAAUCAAGAACGAAAGUUAGGGGAUCGAAGACGAUCAGAUACCGUCGUAGUCUUAACCAUAAACUAUGCCGACUAGGAAUCAGACGAUGUUAAUUUUUUAAUGACUCGUUUGGCACCUUACGGGAAACCAAAGUGUUUGGGUUC
RNAcentral lists this ribosomal RNA (567 nucleotides) under uncultured Glomeromycotina. Its description in RNAcentral is "SSU rRNA". It matches the Rfam family "Eukaryotic small subunit ribosomal RNA", at positions 548 to 1114 of the family's 1831-position model. Lineage: Eukaryota; Fungi; Glomeromycota. The record is from RNAcentral.